AGCUGACCAGCCAUGCCGCGUGCAGGAAGACGGCCUUCUGGGUUGUAAACUGCUUUUCUACGGGAAGAAAAUGCCCUUGCGAGGGAAAUUGCCGGUACCGUAGGAAUAAGCACCGGCUAACUCCGUGCCAGCAGCCGCGGUAAUACGGAGGGUGCAAGCGUUGUCCGGAUUUAUUGGGUUUAAAGGGUGCGUAGGCGGAUCUUUAAGUCAGUGGUGAAAGCCUGCAGCUUAACUGUAGAACUGCCAUUGAUACUGGAGGUCUUGAGUACACUAGAGGUAGGCGGAAUUUAUGGUGUAGCGGUGAAAUGCAUAGAUACCAUAAAGAACACCUAUAGCGUAGGCAGCUUACUGGAGUGUAACUGACGCUGAGGCACGAAAGCAUGGGGAGCGAACAGGAUUAGAUACCCUGGUAGUCCAUGCCGUAAACGAUGAUUACUCGAUGUUGGCGAUAUACUGUCAGCGUCCAAGCGAAAGCGUUAAGUAAUCCACCUGGGGAGUACGCUCGCAAGAGUGAAACUCAAAUG
RNAcentral lists this ribosomal RNA (524 nucleotides) under Roseivirga spongicola. Its description in RNAcentral is "bacterial SSU rRNA". It matches the Rfam family "Bacterial small subunit ribosomal RNA", at positions 381 to 907 of the family's 1533-position model. Lineage: Bacteria; Pseudomonadati; Bacteroidota; Cytophagia; Cytophagales; Roseivirgaceae. The record is from RNAcentral.